CGACCUCAGGCUAGAGGUGGCAACCUGCUGAAUUUAAGCAUAUUAGUCAGCGGAGAAAAUGGAACUAACCAGGAUGCCCUUAGUAAAGUUAGGUGAACAGUGAUCCCAGUGCCAAAUCCCUGCCCCUUGGUAGGGUGCGGGAAAUGUGGCGUAUGGAAGACUCACUCCCCAACGCCACUUGUGGGGGCCCAAGUCCUUCUGAUUGAGGCCCAGCCAGCCUGUGGACGGUGUGAGGCCAUUAGCAGCCCCUGGCUGCCACGCCUGGGUCUUUCCAGAGUCGGGUUGCUUGGGAAUGCAACCUCAAGCUGGUGGCAAACUCUAUCUAAGGUUAAAUACUGGCUCAAGAGACAAUAGUCAACAAGUACUGUAAGGGAAAGUUGAAAAGAACUUUGAAGACGCAGUUCAAGAGGGCGUGAAACCGUUAAGACUUAAAUGUGUGGGAUCCAUGCAGUCUGAUGGAAGAUUCAAACAGGCGGCGGGUCGGGCUGUGCCAGUGGUCUGGCGGAUCUUUCCUGCCUCCCGUUCCUCCCGACCCCUCCAACCGCCCUCCCUCCUCGGCCACCCCUCCUCCUCCUUGGAGGUGGCGGGCCCCAGCAGGUGCGGAGGUGGGUGGGUUGGGCAGGCGGGGGAGUCCUUGGGGACUGUCCUCCAGACGGCGACUGGCCACCGCCAGAUGCAUUUCCACUGUGGUGCUGCGCCGUGACUGGCUCUGGGACGGCUGGAAAGGCCCGGCAGGGAAGGUGGCUCGGGGGGUCAUGUCCUCCCCAUCCCUCUGGAGGGGGGUGAGCUGGGCCACACCCCGAGUGUUACAGUCCCUCAGCAGUAGCACUCGCAGAAUCCCGGGACUGAGGUAGUGAGACCUGUUGCCCUGCUCUCCCCUUCCCUGCUCCCACCCCAGUGGGAGCCCCCCAUGAGGGGAUCCCCCGUGGGGGCAUGACAGCGUCCCUCUAGGGGGCUGGGCCACCCCUCCCACGGUGUAACUACUCUACCACCCCUUCCCUGCCCCCAGCGAGUAGGCCGCAUGUGAGGGGCAGGGGCUGACUGUGGUGUGCCCCAGGCUGGUUGUGCUGUCGGGUCUGGGGGGACUCUUCGGCCAUGCACUCAUUUCAAAAGAACAGUGGAAGAAGUGCACGAGGCCGGUGGCGCUGUUGGCUACCCACAUGACCCAUCUUGAAACAUGGUCCAAAGGGUCUAACACGUGUGCGAGUCAGGGGCUCGCACGAAAGCCACUGUGGCGCAAUGAAGGUGAAGGCUGAUGCGCUGGCUGGCUGAGGCGGGAUCCUGAGGCCUCUCCAGUUUGCCAAGGGAGCACCACCGUCCACUCUCGCCCACUGUGCUGGGCAGGUGGAGAAUGAGCGCUUGUGUUAGGCACCAAAAGAUGAUAAACUAUGCCUGGGCAGGGCGAAGCGAGAGGAAACUCUGGUGGGGGUCUGUAGUGGUCCUGACGUGCAAAUCGGUCAUCUGAUCUGGGUAUAGGGGCAAAAGACUAAUCCAACCAUCUAGUAGCUGGUUCCCUCUGAAGUUUUCCUAAGGAUAACGGGCGCUCUCGCAAAAACCCCAUGCCACGCAGUUAUUUGGUAAAGCGAAUGAUUAGGGGUCUUGGAGUCAAAAUGAUCUCAACCAAUUCUCAAACUUUAAAUGGGUUAGAAGCCCAGCUCGAUGGCAUGGGGCCAGGUAUGAAAUGCGAGUGCCUAGCGGGCAACUUUUGGUAAGCAGAACUGCUGCUGUGGGAUGAACCAAAUGCCAUGUUAGGGUGCCUGAUGCUGAUGCCCAUUAGACCCCAGAAAAUGUGUUGGUUGAUAUAGACAGCAGGACGGUGGGCAUGGAAGUCAGAAUCCACUAAGGAGUGUUUAACAACAAAGAAUCAACUCGCCCUGAAAAAUGGAUGGUACUGAAACAUUGGGCCCAUACCCGGCCAUUGCCAGCAGUUGAGAGUGGAUGGGAGUGGUGAGGGUGGUCGCUCCCGCUGGAGCCCCGAGGAUGCUAUGCUGCUAUGAGUGGGAGGACCGCUGCAAUGAGCCUUGAAGCCUUGGGCAUGAGCCUGGGUGGAGCUGUCCCAGGUGCAGAUCUUGGUGGUAGUAGCAAAUAUUCAAAUGAGAACUUUGAAGGCCGAAGUGGAGAAGGGUUCCAGUUGAAGAUGGGUCACUCGGUCCCCAGAGAUAGGAGAGUGCCAUUCCGAAGGGAUGGAUGAUGACUUCCAUUGCCCUCAGCCAAUGGAAACGGAGUCAAGUUCAGAUUUCUGAAUCCGGAGUGGCAGAGAUGGGCACCAUGAGGCAUUCAGGGAGGUAAUGGAAGUGAUCCUGGAGAAGCUGGUGGGAGCCCAGGGGAGAGUUCUUUUUGUGAAGAGCAGGGCACCCUGUAGUGGAUUCACCCUUAGAGAGAGGUCUGUGCCUUGGAAAGAAUCAUAGAUCAGGAGGCACCUGGUGAGCUCUCACAGGCCCUUGAAAAUCUGGGGGAGAGGGUGUAAAUCUCACACCAGGCUGUAACCAUAUCCACAGCAGGUCUCCAAGGUAAACAGCCUCUGGCAUGUUAGAACAAUGUAGGUAAGGGAAAUCAGCAAGCUGGAUCAGUAAGUUCAGGGUAAGAAUUUGCUCUAAGGGCUUUGCCAGUCUGGCUGGGGCUUGAAAUGGGGCUGGGUGCAGGCAGUGGCUGGAUGAGGUGCUGUACUCCACCCCUCAACGCUAGCGGCACCCCUCUGCAGACAUCCUCCACCCACCUUGCCAUACCUUCCUCUUCCCUAUCCCUGCCCACCUUGCUAUUGCCACUUCCUAGCAGCCUUCUUAGAACUGAUGCAGACCAGGGGAAUCUGACUUUUUAAAACAAAGCAUGGUGAAGGCCUAUGGUGGGUGUUGACACAACGUGAAUUCUACCCAGUGCUCUGAAUGUCAAAAUGAAGAAAUUCAAUGAAGCACGAGUAAAUGGCAGGAGUAAAUAUGUCUCUCUUAAGUGUAGCCAAAUGCCUCAUCAUCUAAUUAGUGACUCAUAUGAAUGGAUGGACAAGAUUCCCACUGUUCCUACCUGCUAUCCAGUGAAACCACAGCCAAAGGAAUGGGCUUGACAGAAUCAGCAGGGAACAAAGACUCUGUUGAGACUGACUCUAGUCUGGUAUGGUGAAGAGACAUGAGAGGUGUAGAAUAAGUGAAAGGCCCCAGCACCCCUCUGUUUCUCUGAGGAGAUGGGGUGAGGUCCACUGGCCUUGUGGGCUGCCGGUGAAAUUCCACUACCCUGAUCAUUUUUUCACUGACCUGGUGAAGUUGGGGCUGGGGAGGAAAGCCAAAAGGGGCUCACUUUUGGCGCCAAGCACCUGGCCACAUGCUGGCUGGAUGUUAACUGGUCCUGGAAUAGUGCCAAGUGCAGAGUCGGACUGGUGCGGUACACCUGUCAAACAGUAAUGCAGGUGUCUGAAGGUGAGUGCAGGGAGUACCAAAACCUCCUGUGGAGCAGAAGGGCAGAAGUUGCUUGAUCUUGAUUUUCAGUAUGAAUACAGACCGGGAAAGCAGGGCCUCAUGAUCCUUUUGACGUUUUGGUUGGGUUUUAAGCAAGACGUGUCAGAGAAGAUACCAGAUGGUUGACCAGAUGGCCCUCAGCUGCUAUGAUUGAAGUCGACCAGACGGCUCUUGCUUUGCCAUGUCUGAGGUGGACAAGGGAUAACUGCCUUGCAGUGGCCAAGAGUUCAUAGCGACAUCGCUUUUUGAUCCUUUGGUGUUGGAUCUUCCUAUUGUGAAACAGAAUUCACCAAGCGUUGGAUGGUUCACCCAAUAGCAGGGAACCUGAGCUUGGUUUAGAACGUCAUGAGACAGGUUAGUUUUAUACAACAGUCUUUUAAACAAGGGUCUUCCCAUCUCGGCCUCACAAGUACCUGGGACUACUGGGAACUUAUUCCUCUGUAUUUUUUCUAACCACAAUUUCAGUUUGUUUCCACGAUACUUAGAGUAACUUGCUGUAAUUUUUCAUUGUUCUUUUCUCUCUCUAUUCUUGUAUGCUCCUUCCUACACACUGAAGUUGACCUUUGGUUUAUUUUUUGUCACAGUUCACACUGGUUGUGACAAACAGACACACACACACACACAGUGAGAGAGAGAGAGAUAGGAGUUCUCAAUUGUGGUAUUAAAUACCUUUUAUUAUUGUUAACUUCAGCUUAAUUAUUUCAUCUUU
Homo sapiens (human) is the source of this 4155-nucleotide ribosomal RNA. It matches the Rfam family "Eukaryotic large subunit ribosomal RNA". The record is from Rfam. NCBI's taxonomy places the organism in Eukaryota, Metazoa, Chordata, Mammalia, Primates, Hominidae.